RNAcentral lists this transfer RNA (73 nucleotides) under Meda fulgida (spikedace). RNAcentral describes it as "tRNA-Val". It matches the Rfam family "tRNA". From Rfam's summary of the family: Transfer RNA (tRNA) molecules are approximately 80 nucleotides in length. Their secondary structure includes four short double-helical elements and three loops (D, anti-codon, and T loops). The record is from RNAcentral. Lineage: Eukaryota; Metazoa; Chordata; Actinopteri; Cypriniformes; Leuciscidae.
UCAGAGCGUGGCUGAGUCAGUUAGGUAUCUCACUUACACCGAGAAAACACCCAUGCAAAUUGGGUCGCUCUGA